UGCGUAGACGGUUAUUUAAGUCGGGUGUGGAAGCCCCGGGCUCAACCUGGGAAUUGCAUUCGAGACUGAAUAGCUAGGGUACGGUAGAGGGAAGCGGAAUUUCCGGUGUAGCGGUGAAAUGCGUAGAUAUCGGAAGGAACAUCAGUGGCGAAAGCGGCUUCCUGGACCAGUACCGACGUUCAGGCACGAAAGCGUGGGGAGCAAA
RNAcentral lists this ribosomal RNA (205 nucleotides) under uncultured bacterium. Its description in RNAcentral is "partial 16S ribosomal RNA". It matches the Rfam family "Bacterial small subunit ribosomal RNA", at positions 568 to 772 of the family's 1533-position model. The record is from RNAcentral.